GGGCAAGUGGCGGAAUUGGUAGACGCGCUAGCUUGAGGGGCUAGUCCUGAAUUAUCGGGGUGGAGGUUCAAGUCCUCUCUUGCCCACCA
This 89-nucleotide transfer RNA is filed under the name Patescibacteria group bacterium. RNAcentral describes it as "tRNA-Leu". It matches the Rfam family "tRNA". Rfam says of the family: Transfer RNA (tRNA) molecules are approximately 80 nucleotides in length. Their secondary structure includes four short double-helical elements and three loops (D, anti-codon, and T loops). The record is from RNAcentral.